RNAcentral lists this ribosomal RNA (387 nucleotides) under uncultured bacterium. RNAcentral describes it as "bacterial SSU rRNA". It matches the Rfam family "Bacterial small subunit ribosomal RNA", at positions 29 to 418 of the family's 1533-position model. The record is from RNAcentral.
AUUGAACGCUGGCGGCAUGCCUUACACAUGCAAGUCGAGCGGCAGCGCGGGGGCAACCCUGGCGGCGAGCGGCGGACGGGUGAGUAAUACAUCGGAACGUGUCCUUUCGCGGGGAUAACCAGUCGAAAGACUGGCUAAUACCGCAUGAGAUCUCACGAUGAAAGCGAGGGACCGCAAGGCCUCGCGCGAUUGGAGCGGCCGAUGCCGGAUUAGCUAGUUGGCGGGGUAAAAGCCCACCAAGGCUACGAUCCGUAGCUGGUUUGAGAGAACGACCAGCCACACUGGGACUGAGACACGGCCCAGACUCCUACGGGAGGCAGCAGUGGGGAAUUUUGGACAAUGGGGGCAACCCUGAUCCAGCCAUGCCGCGUGUGUGAAGAAGGCCUC